This 201-nucleotide ribosomal RNA is filed under the name uncultured bacterium. RNAcentral describes it as "partial 16S ribosomal RNA". It matches the Rfam family "Bacterial small subunit ribosomal RNA", at positions 1300 to 1500 of the family's 1533-position model. The record is from RNAcentral.
GUAGGCUGCAACUCGACUACAUGAAGCUGGAAUCGCUAGUAAUCGCGGAUCAGAAUGCCGCGGUGAAUACGUUCCCGGGUCUUGUACACACCGCCCGUCACACCAUGGGAGUCGGAAAUGCCCGAAGUCUGUGACCGAACCGAAAGGAAGGAGCAGCCGAAGGCAGGUCGGAUGACUGGGGUGAAGUCGUAACAAGGUACC